UACGGAGGAUGCGAGCGUUAUCCGGAUUUACUGGGUUUAAAGGGUGCGUAGGCGGAUUUUUAAGUCAGCGGUAAAAUGUCCGGGCUCAACCCGGGCCGGCCGUUGAAACUGGGGAUCUUGAGUGGGCGGGAAGUAUGCGGAAUGCGUGGUGUAGCGGUGAAAUGCAUAGAUAUCACGCAGAACUCCGAUUGCGAAGGCAGCAUACCGGCGCCCGACUGACGCUGAGGCACGAAAGCGUGGGGAUCGAACAGG
This 252-nucleotide ribosomal RNA is filed under the name uncultured bacterium. RNAcentral's name for it is "partial 16S ribosomal RNA". It matches the Rfam family "Bacterial small subunit ribosomal RNA", at positions 524 to 776 of the family's 1533-position model. The record is from RNAcentral.